CCUACGGGAGGCAGCAGUGGGGAAUAUUGGGCAAUGGAGGCAACUCUGACCCAGCAACGCCGCGUGAAUGAUGAAGGUCUUCGGAUUGUAAAGCUCUUUUCUCAGGGAAGAAGAAAGCGACGCUACCUUAGGAAUAAGCCUCGGCUAACUACGUGCCAGCAGCCGCGGUAAUACGUAGGAGGCAAGCGUUAUCCGGAAUGACUGGGCGUAAAGGGUGCGUAGGUGGUUUGACAAGUUAGUAGCGCAACUCCGGGGCUCAACUUCGGAACUGCUACUAAAACUGGUGGACUUGAGUGCAGGGGGGGCAGGCGGAAUUCCUAGUGUAGCGGUGGAAUGCGUAGAUAUUAGGAGGAACACCAGUGGCGAAGGCGGAUUGCUGGACUGUAACUGACGCUGAGGCACGAAAGCGUGGGGAGCAAACAGGAUUAGAUACCCUGGUAGUC
This 443-nucleotide ribosomal RNA is filed under the name uncultured bacterium. RNAcentral describes it as "partial 16S ribosomal RNA". It matches the Rfam family "Bacterial small subunit ribosomal RNA", at positions 338 to 795 of the family's 1533-position model. The record is from RNAcentral.